AGAGUUUGAUCCUGGCUCAGAACGAACGCUGGCGGCAUGCCUAACACAUGCAAGUCGAACGAGACCUUCGGGUCUAGUGGCGCACGGGUGCGUAACGCGUGGGAAUCUGCCCUUGGGUUCGGGAUAACAGUUGGAAACGACUGCUAAUACCGGAUGAUGACUUCGGUCCAAAGAUUUAUCGCCCAGGGAUGAGCCCGCGUAGGAUUAGCUUGUUGGUGAGGUAAGAGCUCACCAAGGCGACGAUCCUUAGCUGGUCUGAGAGGAUGAUCAGCCACACUGGGACUGAGACACGGCCCAGACUCCUACGGGAGGCAGCAGUGGGGAAUAUUGGACAAUGGGCGAAAGCCUGAUCCAGCAAUGCCGCGUGAGUGAUGAAGGCCUUAGGGUUGUAAAGCUCUUUUACCCGGGAUGAUAAUGACAGUACCGGGAGAAUAAGCCCCGGCUAACUCCGUGCCAGCAGCCGCGGUAAUACGGAGGGGGCUAGCGUUGUUCGGAAUUACUGGGCGUAAAGCGCGCGUAGGCGGCUUUGUAAGUUAGAGGUGAAAGCCCGGGGCUCAACUCUGGAACUGCCUUUGAUACUGGGUACCUAGAGUCCGGAAGAGGUGAGUGGAAUUGCGAGUGUACAGGUGAAAUUCGUAGAUAUUUCGCAGGAACCCCAGUGGCGAAGGCGGCUCACUGGUCCGGUACUAGACACUGAGGUGCGAAAGCGUG
RNAcentral lists this ribosomal RNA (711 nucleotides) under uncultured bacterium. RNAcentral's name for it is "bacterial SSU rRNA". It matches the Rfam family "Bacterial small subunit ribosomal RNA", at positions 8 to 763 of the family's 1533-position model. The record is from RNAcentral.